Molecule: ribosomal RNA, 403 nt
Filed under: bacterium
Lineage: Bacteria
Description: partial 16S ribosomal RNA
Rfam family: Bacterial small subunit ribosomal RNA
Source: RNAcentral
UGGGGAAUAUUGCACAAUGGGGGAAACCCUGAUGCAGCGACGCCGCGUGAACGAAGAAGGUAUUCGUAUCGUAAAGUUCUGUCCUAUGGGAAGAUAAUGACAGUACCAUAGAAGAAAGCUCCGGCUAAAUACGUGCCAGCAGCCGCGGUAAUACGUAUGGAGCGAGCGUUGUCCGGAAUUAUUGGGCGUAAAGGGUACGCAGGCGGUUGAAUAAGUCGAAUGUUAAAGAUCGGGGCUCAACCCCGCAAAGCAUUGGAAACUGAUAAACAUGAGUAGUGGAGAGGAGAGUGGAAUUCCUAGUGUAGUGGUGAAAUACGUAGAUAUAAGGAGGAAUACCAGUAGCGAAGGCGACUUUCUGGACACAAACUGACGCUGAGGUACGAAAGCGUGGGGAGCAAACAGG